Molecule: ribosomal RNA, 351 nt
Filed under: uncultured Sphingobacteriales bacterium
Lineage: Bacteria; Pseudomonadati; Bacteroidota; Sphingobacteriia; Sphingobacteriales
Description: bacterial SSU rRNA
Rfam family: Bacterial small subunit ribosomal RNA
Source: RNAcentral
CUGCAAGGUGCUGCAUGGGUUGUCGUCAGCUCGUGCCGUGAGGUGUCGGGUUAAGUCCCAUAACGAGCGCAACCCUUAUCGUAGUUGCCAGCUGGUAAAGCAGGGGACUCUAGCGAAACUGCCACCGUAAGGUGAGAGGAAGGUGGGGAUGACGUCAAAUCAGCACGGCCCUUAUGUCCAGGGCUACACACGUGUUACAAUGGCCGGCACAGAGGGCAGCUACCUGGUGACAGGAUGCUAAUCUCGAAAACCGGUCUCAGUUCGGAUCGAAGUCUGCAACUCGACUACAUGAAGUUGGAAUCGCUAGUAAUGGCAGAUCAGCAUGCUGCCGUGAAUACGUUCCCGGGUCUU